RNAcentral lists this ribosomal RNA (456 nucleotides) under uncultured Aquabacterium sp. RNAcentral's name for it is "bacterial SSU rRNA". It matches the Rfam family "Bacterial small subunit ribosomal RNA", at positions 923 to 1382 of the family's 1533-position model. Lineage: Bacteria; Pseudomonadati; Pseudomonadota; Betaproteobacteria; Burkholderiales; Sphaerotilaceae. The record is from RNAcentral.
GCACAAGCGGUGGAUGAUGUGGUUUAAUUCGAUGCAACGCGAAAACCUUACCUACCCUUGACAUGUCAAGAAUUUUGCAGAGAUGUGAAAGUGCUCGAAAGAGAACUUGGACACAGGUGCUGCAUGGCCGUCGUCAGCUCGUGUCGUGAGAUGUUGGGUUAAGUCCCGCAACGAGCGCAACCCUUGUCAUUAGUUGCUACCGCAAGGAGCACUCUAAUGAGACUGCCGGUGACAAACCGGAGGAAGGUGGGGAUGACGUCAGGUCCUCAUGGCCCUUAUGGGUAGGGCUACACACGUCAUACAAUGGCCGGUACAGAGGGCUGCCAACCCGCGAGGGGGAGCCAAUCCCAGAAAACCGGUCGUAGUCCGGAUCGUAGUCUGCAACUCGACUGCGUGAAGUCGGAAUCGCUAGUAAUCGCGGAUCAGCACGCCGCGGUGAAUACGUUCCCGGGCCUU